RNAcentral lists this ribosomal RNA (423 nucleotides) under uncultured bacterium. RNAcentral describes it as "bacterial SSU rRNA". It matches the Rfam family "Bacterial small subunit ribosomal RNA", at positions 30 to 451 of the family's 1533-position model. The record is from RNAcentral.
AUUGAACGCUGGCGGCAUGCCUUACACAUGCAAGUCGAACGGCAGCACGGGGGCAACCCUGGUGGCGAGUGGCGAACGGGUGAGUAAUAUAUCGGAACGUACCCUGGAGUGGGGGAUAACGUAGCGAAAGUUACGCUAAUACCGCAUACGAUCUAAGGAUGAAAGUGGGGGAUCGCAAGACCUCAUGCUCCUGGAGCGGCCGAUAUCUGAUUAGCUAGUUGGUGGGGUAAAGGCCUACCAAGGCAUCGAUCAGUAGCUGGUCUGAGAGGACGACCAGCCACACUGGGACUGAGACACGGCCCAGACUCCUACGGAGGCAGCAGUGGGGAAUUUUGGACAAUGGGGGCAACCCUGAUCCAGCAAUGCCGCGUGAGUGAAGAAGGCCUUCGGGUUGGUAAAACUACGUUUCACCUGUGACGAUGA